Molecule: ribosomal RNA, 497 nt
Filed under: uncultured bacterium
Lineage: Bacteria
Description: partial 16S ribosomal RNA
Rfam family: Bacterial small subunit ribosomal RNA
Source: RNAcentral
GAUGAACGCUGGCGGCGUGCCUAAUACAUGCAAGUCGAGCGAACGGACGAGAAGCUUGCUUCUCUGAUGUUAGCGGCGGACGGGUGAGUAACACGUGGAUAACCUACCUAUAAGCCUGGGAUAACUUCGGGAAACCGGAGCUAAUACCGGAUGAUAUUUUGAACCGCAUGGUUCAAAAGUGAAAGACGGUCUUGCUGUCACUUAUAGAUGGAUCCGCGCUGCAUUAGCUAGUUGGUAAGGUAACGGCUUACCAAGGCAACGAUGCAUAGCCGACCUGAGAGGGGGAUCGGCCACACGGGAACUAAGACACGGUCCAGACUCCUACGGGAGGCAGCAGUAGGGAAUCUUCCGCAAUGGGCGAAAGCCUGACGGAGCAACGCCGCUUGAGUGAUGAAGGUCUUCGGAUCGUAAAACUCUGUUAUUAGGGAAGAACAUAUGUGUAAGUAACUGUGCACAUCUUGACGGUACCUAAUCAGAAAGCCACGGCUAACUACGUG